RNAcentral lists this ribosomal RNA (497 nucleotides) under uncultured bacterium. Its description in RNAcentral is "partial 16S ribosomal RNA". It matches the Rfam family "Bacterial small subunit ribosomal RNA", at positions 28 to 507 of the family's 1533-position model. The record is from RNAcentral.
GAUGAACGCUGGCGGCGUGCCUAAUACAUGCAAGUCGAGCGAACGGACGAGAAGCUUGCUUCUCUGAGGUUAGCGGCGGACGGGUGAGUAACACGUGGAUAACCUACCUAUAAGACUGGGAUAACUUCGGGAAACCGGAGCUAAUACCGGAUAAUAUUUUGAACCGCAUGGUUCAAAAGUGAAAGACGGUCUUGCUGUCACAUAUAGAUGGAUCCGCGCUGCAUUAGCUAGUUGGUAAGGUAACGGCUUACCAAGGCAACGAUGCAUAGCCGACCUGAGAGGGUGAUCGGCCACACUGGAACUGAGACACGGUCCAGACUCCUACGGGAGGCAGCAGUAGGGAAUCUUCCGCAAUGGGCGAAAGCCUGACGGAGCAACGCCGCGUGAGUGAUGAAGGUCUUCGGAUCUUAAAACUCUGUUAUUAGGGAAGAAAAUAUGUGUAAGUAACUAUGCACAUCUUGACGGUACCUAAUCAGAAAGCCACGGCUAACUCCGUG